AUCAAGCUACUCAAAUAAAGCAUAUGGUGGAUGCCUUGGCAUAAUGUGCCGAAGAAGGACGUAAUAAGCCGCGAUAGUCGUCGGUGAGGAGCUAAUAUCCUUUGACCCGGCGGUGUCCGAAUGGGGUAACCCCGGUUCGUGUAAACGGACUGGACCGAGAGAUUUAUCUUUCGGUCGGUAACCCGGAGAACUGAAACAUCUAAGUACCCGGAGGAAAAGAAAUCGAAUGAGAUUUCCUUAGUAGCGGUGAGCGAAAAGGAAAUAGCCUAAACCCAUAUUUAUAUGGGUGUUGCAGGACCAGAUAUAUGAUGUUGUUUCGAUAGAAGAACACCGUGGAAUAGGUGGCCAUAGAGAGUGACAGCCUCGUAAUCGAAAUUGAAGCAACAUUAAUUUGGCACCUAAGUACGUUGGGAGACGGCAAACUCCCUGCGGAAUCCGCCCCGACCACGGGGCAAGGCUAAAUACACAUUAUGACCGAUAGUGAACGAGUACCGUGAGGGAAAGGUGAAAAGAUGGGUGAGACACCCAGUGAAAUAGUACCUGAAACCGUAUGCUAACAAACAGACAGAGCUUCGAUUUAUCGGAGUAAUGUCGUGCCUAUUGAAGAAUGACCCGUCGAGUUUGCAUGUACUGCUAGUCUAAGUGAUAUCGUCACGGAGGCGUAGUGAAAGCGAGGAUGAAUAGUCCGUUUAGCAGUGCGUCCAAGACCCGAAACCGGUGUGAGCUAACCAUGAGCAGGGUGAACUGUGAGUAAAAUCACAGGAAGGCCCGAACCAGUAACUGCUGCAAAAGUUUUGGAUGACUUGUGGUUAGGGGUAAUAUGCCAAUCGAACCCGGAGAUAGCUGGUUCUCCCCGAAAUAUAUUUAGGUAUAGCCUUGAGUAAUUGCAUGCGUGGGGGUAGAGCACUGAAAAGGUAUAGUGAAGCAAUUCAUUGUACUUUAUCAAACUCCGAAUACCAUGUAUGUUUAUCUCAGGAGUCAGUCCUUGGGAGCUAAGUUCCAGGGGCAAAAGGGAAACAACCCAGAUCGUCAAUUAAGGUCUCAAAAUCAUAGCUAAGUGGCUCAAGGAAGUCAUAAUCCAUAUACAGCUAGGAGGUCGGCUCAGAAGCAGCCAUCCUUGAAAGAAAGCGUAACAGCUCACUAGUCUCGGAUUGUGGCGCCGAAGAUCCAACGAGGCUCAAGCUAUGUACCGAAAUUACGGAUUGUCACACAUUUAUGUGUGAUUCUGGUAGGGGAGCGUUCUAACAGCAGUGAAGUCGUUUUGUAAGAAACGGUGGAGCGGUUAGAAGUGAGAAUGGCGGGAUGAGUAGCGAGAUGGAGGUGAGAAUCCUCCACACCGUAUGUUCCAGGUUUCCCACGCAACGUUCGUCGGCGUGGGGUUAGGCGGCCCUAAGGUGAGGCUGGUGUAAUGCCGGCGUAGCCGAUGGAUUACCGGUUGAUAUUCCGGUUCUCUAGGGCGUUCGUUAUCAGCUUGGGGAGGGACGGUUUAGGAAGAGCGGGGCGCAUUACAUGAAUUUGCGUCCAAUCGCUGAGGCAGUUGGCUAUAGGAAAAUCCGUAGCCGGCGUUACAACCCGAGGUGUUAUGGGGAAUGUGGACCUUGUGUCCGCGUGACUCCGCAACCUUUCUGAAUCCAAGAAAAUCUUCAUGAGCGAGAAUGUUUUAGAUCCGUACCGCAAACCGACACAGGUGAACUGGUAGAGUAUACCAAGGUGAGCGAGAGAACCUUCCUUAAGGAACUCGGCAAAUUAGCUAGGCGUAACUUAGGGAGAUGCCUAACCUGUUUUUUUGGUACUUGUAUCAAAAAAAUGGGUCGCAGAUAAAGACUAUGAGGUGACUGUUUAACAAAAACACAGGUCUGUGCGAAGACGUAAGUCAACGUAUACGGGCUGAGGCCUGCCCAGUGCCAGAAGGUUAACUGAGAGGGUAACCCCGACUUGUUCGGGAUAGCCUUUGAUUGAAGCCCUGGUGAACGGCAGCAGUAACUAUAACUGUUCUAUGGUUAAGGAUAUACAAAUCGUUGCCAUAGUGAGGUAGUCAAACCUCUCUGAUCAGUGCAGAAAAUAAUGAUCAGAAAAACUUUGCUAUAUGCUGGAAGAGCUGAGAAUCUUCUGCUACUAUGAGUGUAAUGACACAUAGUGACAAUGCAAGAAGUGCAGCAAACCAGCAGGAAAGACUCAAUCCAUGGUGGAUUGUCGGUUUUGUAGAUGGUGAAGGUUGUUUCUCUGUGAGUACGUUCAAAAACGAUACGUGCUCAAGUGGUUAUCAAACUCUUUUUGAGUUUGUCAUCACUCAGGGAGAAAAGAGCCGUUCCUCACUCGAACAAAUCGAAAGAUUUUUUCAGUGCGGGCACAUUUACAUUAAUCAUCGACAUGAUAAUCACCAUGAAAAUAUAUUGCGAUAUUGUGUGAGGCGGCAAACUGAUCUUAAAAAGAUCAUAAUUCCGUUUUUUACUAAAUAUCAGCUUUAUACAACUAAACGUCAGCAAUUUGAAAAUUUCUGUCGCAAGUUGAACGAAAGAGUAUCCCCAGAGACUAUACGCAAAGCAUCGCGAAAGCGUAAAGAUAUAGUCCGAUCUCAUGAGCGAUCAUGAGUCAACAAUUUAGAGCGAAAUUCCUUGUCGGGCAAGUUCCGACCUGCACGAAUGGCGUAACAAUCUCAUGACUGUCUUGAGGAGGGACUCGGCGAAAUUGAAAUGGCUGUGAAGAUGCGGCCUACUGGUAACAGGACAAAAAGACCCCGUGGAGCUUUACUGUACCUUGACACUGAAAUUUAUGUUUUGACUGUGUAGCGUAGGUGGGAGGCGCAAGCCGAUCAUGUAACACCACUCUUUGAAACGUGAGUUUCUCACUUAUCUUGCUCAAUCGCGAGAGAGGACACUGUCUGGGGGGCAGUUUAACUGGGGAGGUUGCUUGCUAAAGAGUACCGCAAGCGCGCAAAGGUAUCCUAAUUCCGGAUAGAAAUCGGAAUGAUAGUGCAAGGGCAUAAGGAUGCCUGACUGUGAGACUUACAAGUCAAGCAGAGACGAAAGUCGGACCUAGUGAUCCUCGUGUACUUCGUGGGAGGUACCGGGCUUAUCGGAUAAAAGCUACCCCGGGGAUAACAGAGUAGUUGCACCUGAGCGUCCACAGCGAC
This 3133-nucleotide ribosomal RNA is filed under the name Candidatus Collierbacteria bacterium RIFOXYD1_FULL_46_26. RNAcentral describes it as "bacterial LSU rRNA". It matches the Rfam family "Bacterial large subunit ribosomal RNA", at positions 1 to 2509 of the family's 2925-position model. Lineage: Bacteria; Candidatus Collieribacteriota. The record is from RNAcentral.